This 505-nucleotide long non-coding RNA is filed under the name Carica papaya (papaya). RNAcentral describes it as "long non-coding RNA (CPAP_LNC001212)". The record is from RNAcentral. Lineage: Eukaryota; Viridiplantae; Streptophyta; Magnoliopsida; Brassicales; Caricaceae.
CUACUAAUAUCUAUGAGGAUCCAUAGGGGUAUCCUCGUUACACGUGAAUCAUUCUCCUUAACUGUCUUAAUUCCAUGGGCGUCCCCAUACCCCAUCCGGUAUGAGCGUGAAGCGGGCUGUCCCCAAAUCCCGUCCGGUAUGAGCACCAAAUGACCAAGUCUUCAUGCCCCGUCUGCCAUGAGACGACAUUCACGGUAGGGUUUCCUAUGAACCCGGUCUGUCCACCAUCUCCCAGGAUAUCUAGCGAGGCUGUCACCUUAUUUGUUUUCUCUUAGUCUCCGUUACCAAGUUAAACAUAAUCACAUAAACAAUAAACAUACACCCGGUAAUACAAUCAUAUCUUGAUUUCCAAAAUCACACAGUGGUCAAGUAAGACAGUAAUACAUGCAUUUAAGACCAUAGAAUAGAUAGACCAGAUACUAUAAUGCAUUUAAACUGUAAAACAAAUCAAGCAGGAAUCGACAAAGAAUAAUGUCCGGUUCGGGCUCUAUUAGCAACCUUAAUU